UGCAAGUCGAACGGUAACGAUGGAAAGCUUGCUUUCCAGGCGACGAGUGGCGGACGGGUGAGUAAUGCAUAGGAAUCUGCCCAGUAGCGGGGGACAACCUGGUGAAAACCAGGCUAAUACCGCAUACGCCCCCUGGUUUAAUCACUGGGGGGGAAAGCGGGGGACCUUCGGGCCUCGCACUAUUGGAUGAGCCUAUGUCUGAUUAGCUAGUUGGUAGGGUAAAAGCCUACCAAGGCGACGAUCAGUAGCUGGUCUGAGAGGAUGAUCAGCCACACUGGGACUGAGACACGGCCCAGACUCCUACGGGAGGCAGCAGUGGGGAAUAUUGGACAAUGGGCGCAAGCCUGAUCCAGCAAUGCCGCGUGUGUGAAGAAGGCCUGAGGGUUGUAAAGCACUUUCAAUUGUGAAGAAAAGUUUAAGGUUAAUAACCUUAAACCGUGACGUUAACUUUAGAAGAAGCACCGGCUAACUCCGUGCCAGCAGCCGCGGUAAUACGGAGGGUGCGAGCGUUAAUCGGAAUUACUGGGCGUAAAGCGUGCGUAGGUGGCUUAGUAAGUCGGAUGUGAAAGCCCUGGGCUCAACCUGGGAACUGCAUUCGAUACUGCCAGGCUAGAGUAUGGUAGAGGGAAGUGGAAUUUCCGGUGUAGCGGUGAAAUGCGUAGAUAU
This 666-nucleotide ribosomal RNA is filed under the name uncultured bacterium. RNAcentral describes it as "bacterial SSU rRNA". It matches the Rfam family "Bacterial small subunit ribosomal RNA", at positions 56 to 697 of the family's 1533-position model. The record is from RNAcentral.